This 31-nucleotide ribosomal RNA is filed under the name Thanatephorus cucumeris. RNAcentral's name for it is "partial 28S ribosomal RNA". Lineage: Eukaryota; Fungi; Basidiomycota; Agaricomycetes; Cantharellales; Ceratobasidiaceae. The record is from RNAcentral.
GCUGAACUUAAGCAUAUCAAUAAGCGGAGAA